UUGAAAAGCAUCCAAAAUUUAUACAAUAAGAAAAAAACUCAAAUCAUAUGCAGAACUAAGUAUCAGAAGACAAGAAAAAAA
RNAcentral lists this small RNA (81 nucleotides) under Arabidopsis thaliana (thale cress). Its description in RNAcentral is "ATSL289910". The record is from RNAcentral. Lineage: Eukaryota; Viridiplantae; Streptophyta; Magnoliopsida; Brassicales; Brassicaceae.